Non-coding RNA from Caretta caretta (loggerhead turtle), 4660 nucleotides. The record is from RefSeq and is a predicted model, not a curated record. NCBI's taxonomy places the organism in Eukaryota, Metazoa, Chordata, Testudines, Cheloniidae.
UUCUUUCUUUUAACCGGGGUAAAAUUACUCUUCCCCCGAUAUACAUUGCAGUGUGGCUGCAUUGCCAGUAAAAAACCGCGCCGCGCGGCUGAUUCUUGUCUAAUCUCUGUGACUGCAGCGCAGAGGCUCCGAAAGGGGGAAAAGAUGCAAGCGGCGGUCCCCUGCCGGUCGUAGCGAGCCGAGGUGCAAGGCUACGUCGGGGAUAUACGAUUCCAGGCAGCCCCCUCUGCUUCUGCAGGCAGCUUCCCUAUCCCGGUCUAUUCUGUCCGUCCCACCCACCGUUUUCCACAGCAAACAGCCCCGGGGGGUGAGCUGGGGGCAGCCACAGGCUGCCUCGCGUACGCUGCAGGAGCCUUUUACUAGAGAAAAAAAACCACGCUGGAAUUGCUACCCCCCUUCUGUCUGCCACAGACCAGGGAGAACACACACCGGGGGGCGCAGCAUUCGGGAGGCCUGGCGUUUGGGGAGAAGAAAUGAUCCCACUGUUGAGUCUGUAGCAAGGGCUUGUCCUUUUCCGUCUCACCCUCGAGAAAGUUUAUGUCUGGUUUCGAUAGAACUGCUGCGAGGAAAGAGACCCAGAAGAAAGUAAAGCCUUCCCCAGGCAUGCCUGCCUUCUAGGGACUAUUUAUUUUUGCCAUGUGCAGCCCUCUCCUAAGAGAGAUCGAUUGCAGGGUGGCAACCUAACUCUAGGGUUUUUGCACAGCUCUGCAGCAUGAUUUGCUGGUACAACUCCCCGCUCACAGACAGCUAGCAGGCUUAACAAGGAGGAUAAAGAGGAGCUGCAGGACUCCAAAUGCCUGGAAGAGGAGGAUUAGGGACAGUGCCACCUAGCUGGCCCCCAAUCUCAAAGAAAUACCUGGUGUUAUCACGAAGGGGAGUCUGAAUUCAUGGAGGCAACGGCCCAGGAAGACAGCACAAUUAGCCUCCGCAAAGCUUGUCUGAGAGACUCUGCAGAAGUUAACGCUCAGAUACACCUACCAGCGAGAACCCGUGGGAAGGAGAGUUGUUCUGAAGCAAGAGGUGGUGGUGAACAGGGAAAGCAGAACUCUCCUGAACAGGCCCAGGGCUGUGUUUCUGAGGUGUGGUUAUCCUGGUGUAAUCAUCUAAUAAGAUUAUAUCAGGUCGGUGACAGAGAGCCCUGCCAAUCUACUGAUGUCCGCUUUAUAUCUGCAGAUGCCUGUGGACUAUGUUUGCAGAUCGAUCCAGAUCCAAAUUUUAUAUCUAGAGCCCUGCAAAUCCACAGAUACCUGCACAUCUUGGUUGCAGAUUGGAUGCGGAUACACAUUUUGUAUCUGUGCAGGGCUCUAGGCAUUCACACCAUGCCUUGCAGGAAGGUCUGGGGGUGGCAGAACUGGAAAGGUUUUUCAUAGGCACGUGUCACAAGUCUCUGCCUAUUUCAAUGACUGGAAUGAAAUCAGGUAGUGUUUACUAUUCUGUGACUUACCUCAUUGCUGCUAUUGGAUAUGGCUCACAUAAUCAGGCUGACCUUCCUGUACAUAACAGAUGCUUUCACCCAAAACCAUGGCAAAGGAAUUCAGAAGUAUCUUUCAGGCAGGGCCAUUGUUCCCAGUUAUGAAACAAACCAUCAGUCAUUCAGUGAAAAGUGUCCAAGAACAGCCACCUGCCUCUGAAAGACGGGUAACUAGCUCGCAUCCCUCCAUGCACACUCACUCCCUGUUGGUAAUGAGCAGCCAGGCUGGUGCUCCUAGCCCUCGAAUACUGUCUAAAGCUAGCGGUAAACUAAUGAUAUUAAUGCGCAGAGAUAGAAACUUGCAGGUGUGGGCCUGUCUCCAAUCCAGACAGUAUCUUUCAGUUAGUUCCAUGUUUUAAACACAAGCAAUACAUGAUGUACUCCUGCCAAAGAAUGGAUGUAGCUCACUGAAAUGGAUGUAGCUCACUGAAUACCCUUUAUUUCUACAGCACCUUUCAGCAGAGGCUUGACUCUGAAGCACAGAGCGGUUAGAGGAUUUACCAAAGGUCCGUGGCAGAGAUGAGAAUAGAACCCAGGAGUUCCAAUUCACCUCUCUGCUCUAAAGUCUAGACCACACUAAUUCCUCUGCUUCAGCCCCUUGGGCAAAAAGCACAGUAGUGAGCAUCACGUAAUAGCUUUUCACUUCUCUGAUGAUCAAGGGUAUGGAACCACUUCCAUAUGAGGAGAGGCUAAGAAAAUGAGGGUUGUAAGCUUAGACGAGACAGUGAAGGGCGGUAGACGUGAUGGAGGUCUGUAAAAGCAUGAAUGGUGUGGGGAAAAAAGUUAUGUAUCCUUUCCCACAAUACAAAAAACAGUUGUCACCCAAGGAAAUUAAUAAGCAGCAGGUUUAAUACAAACUAAAGUAAGUACUUUUCCACAUACUUCACAACCUGUGGAACUCAUUGCCAUGGGAUGUUGGGAAGGCCAAAACUAGAUGAGUUUAUGGCAAAGAGAAAAGGAGUACUUGUGGCACAUUAGAGACUAACCAAUUUAUUUGAGCAUAAGCCACAAGUACUCCUUUUCUUUUUGCGAAUACAGACUAACACGGCUGUUACUCUGAAACCUGUCUUUAUGGCAAAGGUCCAUCGAUGGGUACUUGCCAAGAUAGUCAGCAAUGCAACCCCAUGCUUGGAGUGACCCUAAGCCUGACUACAGGAGGGGAAGACAGGGAUGGAGUACUCCAAACUCUCUGUUCUGUACACUCCCCCUGAAGCUCUGGCGGUGGCCACUGUUGGAUACAGGACACUGGGCCAGAUGGACCAUUGUGCUGACCCAGUAUGGCUGUUCUUAUGCUCUCUUUCAGAGAAUCUCUUACUGUUCCUGAAAUGUAUGUCGGGGGAUGGUAAGAGCUUUUCAGGCUGAUCUCUGACUUACACAGCACAGGGGAAAGAUCUGGUGGUGUUAAUAAGAUCCAGGAGUUCUCUGCCUUAAAAAAAGAUGGUCAUGAACAUUUACUGGUCCACACACAAAAUAUACAGUGGUUCUCCACCAUGAGGAAUUGCAAUGAAAAGUAUUUAUUUUUUCCUGCCCCUCAGAAAGCUCCCUGCUCUGCAGAAGCAGAGUCUUGCAGGGCUCAGCCCCUUCUAAUGCGGAUGCGGCCUAUUGCAUGGUUAUUUAGACCCACACAAGCUUUGUGAGGGUCCAGGGUAAAACAUUACCAGCUCAGGCGGAGAAGAAGGGGUUAAACGAGGAGGGGACAGGUUUCAGGCGCCCAAUGGGCUACAAGCAGGGGUGGGACUCCCCAGCUAUAGUUUGGUUGAGAAGCAGGGAAACCCCGCCUGUAGCACCAGUGGGAAGCAGCCAAUGGGCGAGCCCGGCCCGAGUGGGGUGAUUUUGCCUCACAGCUCCGGUCGGGCUGCGAUUACAUCAUGCCAAUCCCCCGGGGGCUGGAGCAGCCGGUGCAGCACGUGGCUCAGGGUCACCCUCCCUGUUCCUGAGUGGGCUGGCUGGGGAAACAAGCCAGCCCAGGGCCCAGCUGGUCAGGCCUGCGCUUGCUCUGACAGGGUUAGAGAAGCCACUUUGAGGGGCAUCAAGGGUGAACCCCCCCCCCCCAAAGCCAGGCACUGGGGGGGCAGGAUGUGAGAGCAAACACCAGGGGCCAGAUGUCAGUCCCGCGGCUUAAUGCACAACCCAAAGGCGCUCAGAUGCUGCAGGGCUGAGAACAGGAGUACUUGUGGCACCUUAGGGACUGACCAAUUUAUUUGAGCACGAGCUUUCGUGAGCUACAGCUCACUUCAUGGGAUGCAUGCCGUGGAAAAUACAGGGGGGAGAUUUUAUAUACACAGAGAACAUGAAACAAUGGGUGUCACACCAUACACACUGUAACCAGAGCGAUCAGACACUGUCCAGUUUGACCAACGUACAUGGCAGAAGGGUACUGCUGGCACAUGAUGGCAUAUAUCACAUUGGCAGAUGUGCAGGCAAUUACAUGCAGAUUGACACUCAGACCAGCCUAUUCGGAAGCACCUACCAGCAGAAGGGGAUGGUCCCUAUGUAAAUCAAAGGCAAGGCCGCUCUCACUACACUUUCAGAUCAACAAGAGCACGGAGAAGGUAGCCAAGAGCGAUCUUUACAGUGCGAAGAGGGCAUCCUCUGAGCGUUCCUGCUUCUUCCUGCCUGAAGGAUUCGUAGGAGGAGUGGGGGCCUCCAGCGGAGGAGAAGUGAAGAUGCUCCAGAAGGAUACACUAUGGAACAUCAGCUACCAAGAGUUUGGUGGAUCGGAAGAGGAUCUCUGCUGGGUGACUGUAUCAGAAGAGAGCAAUAUGGAUAUUCUACUCUAAGGCACUGGACUGAGACCGCUCUGAAAGCCAGGGACUUCUCUGCUUACCUUCACUUGUCACGCCUUCUUCCAGUUCUUCUCCUUUCUGCAGUUGGAACAAAGAAACAAGUAUGAACACGUACUUCACUUCUCUUUCAGUUUCAGCCUAAGCAUGUUUACAAGUAACCCAUACCAUUCACUGCCUCUGCCCCUUUGCUUAACCACAGUUACUAUUUGAGCAAGAUGACCUAGAUGAGUCACAUCGUGCUCAUGACAGGAGGCAGACGAACGACCCAGUAUUUCUCUGUGUUGCAGAACAAGAGAAAUAGUCCAAAUGAUGGUGCUAUUGAUUAUUGGCGACAUCCAUUAUCAGUGCACUCCCCAUUAGACCUGAGUGACAGUCAGGUAAUCUCCAUCUUCUCCAGUUCCAA